GAAAUGCGAUAAGUAAUGUGAAUUGCAGAAUUCAGUGAAUCAUCGAAUCUUUGAACGCACCUUGCGCUCCUUGGUAUUCCUUGGAGCAUGCCUGUUUGAGUAUCAUGAAAUCUUCAAAGUAAAUCUUUUGUUAACUCAAUUGGUUUCUACUUUGGUAUUGGAGGUCUUUGCAGCUUCACACCUGCUCCUCUUUGUUCAUUAGCUGGAUCUCAGUGUUAUGCUUGGUUCCACUCGGCGUGAUAAGUUAUCUAUCGCUGAGGACACUGUAAAAGGUGGCCAAGGUAAAUGCAGAUGAACCGCUUCUAAUCGUCCAUUGACUUGGACAAUACUUUUAUGAUCUGAUCUCAAAUCAGGUAGGACUACCCGCUGAACUUAAGC
Molecule: unclassified non-coding RNA, 378 nt
Filed under: plant metagenome
Description: partial contains 5.8S ribosomal RNA, internal transcribed spacer 2, and large subunit ribosomal RNA
Rfam family: 5.8S ribosomal RNA (bases 1-105)
Source: RNAcentral